Molecule: ribosomal RNA, 422 nt
Filed under: uncultured bacterium
Lineage: Bacteria
Description: bacterial SSU rRNA
Rfam family: Bacterial small subunit ribosomal RNA
Source: RNAcentral
UGAGGAAUAUUGGACAAUGGGCGCAAGCCUGAUCCAGCCAUGCCGCGUGCAGGAAGAAGCAUCUAUGGUGUGUAAACUGCUUUUGUACGGGAAGAAACACUCCUACGUGUAGGAGCUUGACGGUACCGUAAGAAUAAGGAUCGGCUAACUCCGUGCCAGCAGCCGCGGUAAUACGGAGGAUCCAAGCGUUAUCCGGAAUCAUUGGGUUUAAAGGGUCCGUAGGCGGUUUAGUAAGUCAGUGGUGAAAGCCCAUCGCUCAACGAUGGAACGGCCAUUGAUACUGCUAGACUUGAAUUAUUAGGAAGUAACUAGAAUAUGUAGUGUAGCGGUGAGAUGCUUAGAUAUUACAUGGAAUACCAAUUGCGAAGGCAGGUUACUACUAAUGGAUUGACCCUCAUGCACGAAAGCGUGGGGAGCAAACA